Molecule: long non-coding RNA, 1324 nt
Organism: Apis cerana (Asiatic honeybee)
Lineage: Eukaryota; Metazoa; Arthropoda; Insecta; Hymenoptera; Apidae
Source: RefSeq, a predicted model, not a curated record
CAUAGUCUCUAGGCUGGAGGUAAUUUCUGGGAAGGUCGGUCUUGAUUUUGGUUCAUACUGAAAGCAAUGUAAGGCAAUGUUUUGUGGCCAAGAAUAUACCACAUAUAUCUCGAAUUAUAUACAAGAAAUGAAUGGAAUGUCAUCAUUCAAGAAAUUUCGAUUAUCCGAAUAUUUAAGAAUUAAAGAGUAGAGUUAAAUUUAUAAAAAUGAAUUUUAUUUUAUUUAAUAUUUAAUUGAGUUCCUAUUAUCUGAAUUAAUUAUUAUUAUUAUAGUUAUUUAAAUAUCGUUAUAACGUAAUAAAAUUGGAAAUAUAUUUUAUUACAAUAAAUAUAUUUAGUAAAAAAUUAAUUAGUUAAGUAUUAGCUAAUUAUUUUCCAAAAUUAUUUCUGUAUUAAUAUGUUAUUAUGUAUUUUAGAAAAAAUGUUUUACGAAAUUUCAUUAUAUGAACUUUUAUUGACUUUAAUUAAAUGAAAUAUCACAUGAUGAAUUCUUAUUACAAAAUAUUAAUAUAUUCAUGGAAUUCUUUUAUGUAUAUAGAUAAUUAUAGAAAUAAAAAAAGAACAUAAAAAUUUAUAUCAAAAUGAAUAUUUAAUUCAUUUAAUUGUAAUAUGACACAUUUUGCGUUAAACCAGUAUUAUGUGAUUUAAUCUCUCGCAGAUCGCGUGUGUGAUCUAUCCUUAGUUUGUUUAUUACAUUUGUUAAAUUAAUUAAUUAAAUAAAAUGUACGAUAUGCAUGACAUAAAAUAUAAACAUUUAUUGUAACAGCCAUUGUAAUGCAUAUUGCAAUUUUCAUGAUAUUUUUGAAUUUCUAAAUAUUAAAUAUUAAAAAAUAUAUCAUUACAUCAAUAUUUUUUUUAAAUUACACAUUUAUUCAACAAAAAUAAAAAUAUUUGUUAUAAUAAAAAAUUAGUUGAAUAAAAUUUUUAGAAAAAAAUUGAACAAGACAAAGAUUAUAAUAAUCGAUAUUUCAGAUCGAAAGUGAUUGCAGCGCCACGUAGGUCAUCGAUAAUCGAUAAUGCUAACGUAAUAAUAUAAUUUUGUAUUGAUAAACGAUAUCAGAAAAUAUUUCGCAAUUUUAAUUAUAAAAUAUCUGGAAAUCGAUGAUUCUCGUGAUAAAUAACUUCAACUGUUUAUAACUUAAUAAAUAUAUUUCUUGUAUAAUAAUUUAAACUUGCGUAACUUUUAAUGUAUAUAAUCAUAUAUAACUAAAAUUAAUUUUCCAAUGAUAUUCCAUGAAUAUAAAGUAAUAUCUUAUAUAAAUAAAUAUAUAUAUAUUGUAUAAACGAUUUACUUAUUAUUAUUAAAAUUAAUUAUUUAAAUAAAA